RNAcentral lists this ribosomal RNA (899 nucleotides) under uncultured bacterium. RNAcentral's name for it is "bacterial SSU rRNA". It matches the Rfam family "Bacterial small subunit ribosomal RNA", at positions 8 to 916 of the family's 1533-position model. The record is from RNAcentral.
AGAGUUUGAUCCUGGCUCAGGAUGAACGCUGGCGGCGUGCCUAAUACAUGCAAGUCGAACGAGGUGCUUUUGUAGCAAUACGAGAGUAUCCUAGUGGCGAACGGGUGAGUAACACGUGGGUGACCUACCCCAAAGUGUGGAAUAACAGUCCGAAAGGAUUGCUAAUGCCGCAUGUGGUCUGCGAGUUUAGAAAUCGUUGACUAAAGGAGCAAUUCGCUUUGGGAGGGACCUGCGUCCCAUCAGCUAGUUGGUGAGGUAACGGCUCACCAAGGCUACGACGGGUAGGGGACCUGAGAGGGUGGCCCCCCACAAUGGAACUGAAACACGGUCCAUACACCUACGGGUGGCAGCAGUAGGGAAUAUUGCACAAUGGGCGAAAGCCUGAUGCAGCAACGCCGCGUGCGCGAUGAAGGUCUUCGGAUCGUAAAGCGCUUUUCUGAGAGAUGAGAAAGGACAGUAUCUCAGGAAUAAGUCUCGGCUAACUACGUGCCAGCAGCCGCGGUAAAACGUAGGAGGCGAGCGUUAUCCGGAUUCACUGGGCGUAAAGCGCGUGCAGGUGGUUCGGUAAGUUGGGCGUGAAAUCUCCCGGCUCAACUGGGAGAGGUCGUUCAAUACUACCGGACUUGAGAGCAGAAGAGGAAGAUGGAAUUCCCGGUGUAGUGGUGAAAUGCGUAGAUAUCGGGAGGAACACCAGUGGCGAAGGCGAUCUUCUGGUCUGUUUCUGACACUCAGACGCGACAGCUAGGGUAGUAAACGGGAUUAGAGACCCCGGUAAUCCUAGCCGUAAACGAUGUGAACUUGGCGUUGGUGGGUUAAACUCCAUCAGUGCCGAAGCAAACGCGAUAAGUUCACCGCCUGGGGACUACGGCCGCAAGGUUUAAACUCAAAGGAAUUGACGG